Molecule: unclassified non-coding RNA, 295 nt
Filed under: uncultured fungus
Lineage: Eukaryota; Fungi
Description: sequence contains ITS1
Source: RNAcentral
GGGGACUACUCGGGUAUCUAAUCCUGUUUGCUCCCCACGCUUUCGCGCCUCAGCGUCGGAUCCGGCCCAGCGGGCCGCCUUCGCCACCGGUGUUCUUCCCGAUCUCUACGCAUUCCACCGCUACACCGGGAAUUCCACCCGCCCCUACCGGUCCCCAGGUCGGGAGUCUCGGAAGCAGUCCCGGGGUUGAGCCCCGGGCUUUCACUCCCGACUUCCCGUCCCGCCUGCGCGCGCUUUACGCCCAGUGAUUCCGAACAACGCUCGCGCCCUCCGUCUUACCGCGGCUGCUGGCACC